This 308-nucleotide unclassified non-coding RNA is filed under the name uncultured fungus. RNAcentral's name for it is "partial contains 5.8S ribosomal RNA, internal transcribed spacer 2, and large subunit ribosomal RNA". The record is from RNAcentral. Lineage: Eukaryota; Fungi.
AACGCAUCUUGCACUCUUGGGUCAUUCCUGAGAGUAUGCUUGUUUGAGUGUCACGAAACCCUCUCAACCCCGCUUUCUUUAUUGAAAGUAGUUUGGGUUUGGAUCAUGAUGUUUGUUGGAGUAUUUAAGUAUGCCUCAACUGCAUUGAAAGAUAACAAGCUGAAUUGACAUACUUGCGGCUUGACCUGUUGUUGUAACUUGAAACUCAAUAGGAACGCAUUAGAGUUGAACGAGCUUUAUUGAAACCGAAUUUAACACAUUCAUUUCAUUUCGACCUCAAAUCAAGUAGGACUACCCGCUGAACUUAA